UAAACUUAAUAAUUUGACUGUAAUUAAUUUUAUAAAGGAGCUUGUAAUUUAAUCGAUUCUACACGUUUAUCUUACUUAUAUUUAUUUGUAUAUCUCCGUUUAAGAUUUUAUUUAAAAUUAUAUAAAUUUUCUUAAAAAUUUAUAUUAAAAUAUCAGGUCAAGGUGCAGUAUAUAUAAGUUAUUAUGCGCUACAUUAAAAAAUUAUUUAAAUGAAUUUUAAUUUGUAAAUUUAAAUGAAAGUGGAUUUAUAAGUAAAAUAAAGUAAUUUAUUUAUUUGAAAACAAAUUAAUUAUGUACACAU
RNAcentral lists this ribosomal RNA (301 nucleotides) under Opisthopatus cinctipes. RNAcentral describes it as "partial 12S ribosomal RNA". Lineage: Eukaryota; Metazoa; Onychophora; Udeonychophora; Euonychophora; Peripatopsidae. The record is from RNAcentral.